Cornus florida is the source of this 156-nucleotide small nuclear RNA. RefSeq annotates it as U4 spliceosomal RNA. The record is from RefSeq and is a predicted model, not a curated record. Lineage: Eukaryota; Viridiplantae; Streptophyta; Magnoliopsida; Cornales; Cornaceae. The transcript has a single exon.
AUCAUUGCGCUUGGGGCAAUGACGCAGCCUGUGAGGUUUUAACCGAAGCGCGUCAAUUGCUGGUUGAAAACUACUUCCCUUUUUAUUCAUCUCUUUGGCUUGGGUUCCGGUCGGCCAUUGAAAAUUUUUGAAAGGGCUCCCUUCUUGGAUAAAGCC